CCCUACUGCUAUCGGGAUAGGAUUAAGCCAUGCGAGUUGUGCGCCUUCGAGCUAUGGCGGAGGCGCGGCAUACGGCUCAGUAACACGUGGCUAACCUACCCUUAGGACGGAGACAACCCCGGGAAACUGGGGCUAAUCCCCGAUGGGCGAGGAGGCCUGGAAUGGUUCCUCGCCGAAAGGGCGCUGAAACCAUGCUUUUCGGCGUUGCCUAAGGAUGGGGCCGCGGCCGAUCAGGUUGUUGGUGGGGUAACGGCUCACCAAGCCUUUGACCGGUACGGCCGUGAGAGCGGGAGCCUGGAGAUGGGCACUGAGACAAGGGCCCAGGCCCUACGGGGUGCAGCAGGCGCGAAAACUCCGCAAUGCGCGAAAGCGUGACGGGGCUAUCCCGAGUGCCGUCCGCUGAGGAUGGCUUUUCCCCGGUGUAAGGAGCCGUGGGAAUAAGGAGAGGGCAAGCCUGGUGUCAGCCGCCGCGGUAAUACCAGCUCUCCGAGUGGUAGGGAUGUUUAUUGGGCUUAAAGCGUCCGUAGCCGGCUCGGUAGGUCUCUCGUUAAAUCCAGCGACCUAAUCGUUGGACUGCGGGAGAUACUGUCGGGCUAGGAGGCGGGGAAGCCGAUGGUAUUCCCGGGGUAGGGGUGAAAUCCUAUAAUCCCGGGAGGACCACCAGUGGCGAAGGCGGUCGGCUAGAACGCGCUCGACGGUGAUGGACGAAAGCUGGGGGAGCGAACCGGAUUAGAUACCCGGGUAGUCCCAGCCGUAAACGAUGCGGGCUAGGUGUUGGGGAGGCUACGAGCCUCUUCAGUGCCGCAGCGAAAACGUUAAGCCCGCCGCCUGGGGAGUACGGCCGCAAGGCUGAAACUUAA
This 860-nucleotide ribosomal RNA is filed under the name uncultured archaeon Arc.3. RNAcentral describes it as "bacterial SSU rRNA". It matches the Rfam family "Archaeal small subunit ribosomal RNA", at positions 21 to 859 of the family's 1478-position model. The record is from RNAcentral.